AGCAAUGGCAGUGAUAACAAGCAAAAAUAGGACAGGGGAGAAAGCCAAGAGUCUUCAGACCACAAGAGAAGGAGAGAUUAAUUCUGGAAAAUCCACCUGGAUGGACAGCAGCAGAGGGAGGAGGAGGCAGGACAGACCGGAAGAGAGACAAUGAGGUUCUGAACCUAGAUGGUGGCAAGGGAGCAGAGAAGGGCAGGUCAGGAGGCCCCCGCCCUGCAAUCACCCUUCCUGGGAGCCUUCACUUCACCUGUGAUCUCAAGACCUCUCCCUCCUGCCUGACUCGUGCCGAGCUUGUGGAACAUCUUCCCUUGAGGGUCGCAGUCCAUUCGAGGAGCCUUGUCACACGUCUUGCUUCUGUGGGGAGCUCAAGCUAGGACACCCCUGGAACACUCCCCAAGUCUCUUCCUUCCCAUCCAGCACCACUUCCCUAAGUCACAACUGCACCACCUCUCAUCUGGACUGCUCACAGCAGGAGGAGUCAGGAUCAAAAUAUCCAAAGAAAAAGUAAGAAUCUAUAUACAGGAAACAAAUAUGUGACGAUGACUGGAGCAGCUCAGAAUCAGAACUUGAGCAAGACCUAGGCUGCUUUGAUUUUCUGAACGUCUCGAAAUAUUAGGGGUGAAAAACAAAAUAAAAAAAGAAAAAAAAGAAGGAAUACCAAAAGCAAGUUACAUAAAGUAUGAGAUACAUUACA
RNAcentral lists this long non-coding RNA (694 nucleotides) under Pongo abelii (Sumatran orangutan). RNAcentral's name for it is "lincRNA". Lineage: Eukaryota; Metazoa; Chordata; Mammalia; Primates; Hominidae. The record is from RNAcentral.